Molecule: ribosomal RNA, 112 nt
Filed under: Periophthalmus magnuspinnatus
Lineage: Eukaryota; Metazoa; Chordata; Actinopteri; Gobiiformes; Gobiidae
Source: RNAcentral
CUUGGUGGUCAUACCGCCUUGUCAAAGCCUGAUGUCGUAAAAUCUCAGAAGCUAAACAAGGGCCUGGUUAGUACUUGGAUGGGAGACUGUGGGAAUACAGGUGCUAUUGGGG